GUAAGCUGUUAUGUGCAGACAGUUUUCGUCGCGAGUUCGGCGAGCCGUGACCCAGCAUCGUAGUUAUCAGUGGCCGAAGCCGUAAAAACUCUAAAUACUAUGUUUAAUAAUUCAACAAAUUGUGUGUUUGGUAAACAAAGUGAAAAUUGGUUUAAUGGAAGGCAGUUAAAAGUUGUUAUUAGUGUUUGGUUUUAAUUGCAAAGCGUGGCUGCGCUCUCUCACACAGAAAACGUGCGCGCGAAAGAGACGCGCAAAGAAUAGUGCAAAACAAAAUAACGGAAUUAAAGAGCGGUCAGCGCGAGUGCUCAGAAUAUUACAGCAAUAAAUAUGUAUGUACUUGGAGUUAUAUGAUGAGUCUUAAUUCACAGGAGCACCAUUGAUUAAAGAUUUGAGGAGUACAUCUUUAUAUCUUUCUGACAAAUAUUUGAGAAGGUGAUCUUCCAGCAAUUUGCACUUGCACAGUCCGUGGGUUGUUCUGUAAUUAAAUUAUAAAAUAUAAUUGUUUGUUAAUUCAACAACUUGUAAGAGGUGUUCAAAUUCAGGGAUAUAUUUACUCUGUAACAUAUGCGAAUAAUAUAUAAGAAACUGAAUACAACAUUAAAUCAGACACAAUCCGGGAAGAAAGAACUAAAAUGCAGUAACUGCCUAGGGAUUAAUACUUUUUGUUUAAUACACUCUGCAUAAGGAGAAAAGGUGUUCUGUAGACACUUCGCGUACGGGAUUAUUAAUUCUCAAUCGUCUGGAGCUUCAACUCGAAACUCCCAAGUGGCUAAGCAGCCCUCGAAAAAUGUCGCAUUCGCUGGCCCUGGACAUGGACCUGCUGACAGCAGCAUUCGAGCUGAAAGUACUCUUCAGCUUCACAAUCACAUUCACAUCCGCAGAAGCCGGGGCAGGAUCACACAAUGAGCUGGAAUGGGAGCGCGGGCUGGGGUAGCUGGCGCUGGGCACGUGUUGAGUGCGCACAAAAGUAUGCUAUGGAGCAUACGAGCAAUCUUUUAUUUGAUACGUUUUUGAUUUGAGAACUAAAAGUCGCCGCAGCAGACAAUGUCAAUGUGUGCUCCCCACAUCCCAAGCCAAACCCAUCCGCCCAACAAACCCAAAUUGCUAUCGAAAACAAUGACAGAAACACCCCGAGGACUACAUGAGGGGCAAGAGAGGGAGCAAAAGAGUGAGAGACUGAGCAGCAGUUGACUGCGCCCAGUCUCAAGUGCAGCAUGACACAUCCUGGCAAGUCCUGUGUCAAACGAACCGUAUGAACAAGGACUUCAAACUGCCCAAAGGACAUCAAAAUCGUCCUUACCGUUUCUUAGAUAUGGCCAAUUUUCUAAAAAGGACAUUUUUCAAUUAGCCAUAACUCGGCCAAAUCCUUAAGGAUAUCGGAAGGAUAUACCUUGUCGAACUCGUGGAGAGGAGGACUAUCGAUUGGCAUUCAAGGAUUUCCAAGAUUCGACAAAAAAUUUCACCAAAAUAUUUCAUAGGGGAUUGCCAAAUUAAGGACCAUAAUGACCUCUAAGGACCUCUAAGGACCUCCACGCAAAAUUUUCCAGGAUCGGACUUUAAUUAAGCCAGAUAUACUUAUUUUAAGUUCAAAUAAGCAUAAAUUAUAAUUUAUUC
This is a non-coding RNA of Drosophila virilis, 1614 nucleotides long. The record is from RefSeq and is a predicted model, not a curated record. NCBI's taxonomy places the organism in Eukaryota, Metazoa, Arthropoda, Insecta, Diptera, Drosophilidae.